RNAcentral lists this long non-coding RNA (4189 nucleotides) under Malus domestica (apple). RNAcentral's name for it is "long non-coding RNA (MDOM_LNC017532)". Lineage: Eukaryota; Viridiplantae; Streptophyta; Magnoliopsida; Rosales; Rosaceae. The record is from RNAcentral.
UUUCAUCAUCUUAAAUUUCCUAUUCAUUUUGCUCAGUUUUUGUUCAAUUUCGAUAAGGUAUUACAGCUCGAAGCCGAUUUGCAGAUUUUAAAAAUGGUGGACGCUGGGCAAAAAACACUUGGACAGGUAAUUCAAUUUCAAUGCCAAGACCGUUCAUUUCUUUUGGAUAAUUUGAUCUUUCGUUGAUUUCAACUGAAUUCUAAAAAAAAAAUUAAUUUGCUUAGUUUAAUUUGUAGUUGUUCAUUUCUGAUGAAGAGCUAUGAAUGUUAUGAAUUACUACAGGUUUAAACUAACGAUAUGUUCAACAAUAUGAAAUUGCUUUGUGUUUUAAGAUCUUCAUCCGAAUAAAGUUUUGUUAUUUCUUAUGGUGGACUUCCGUUUGCAGUUCGGAGCCAAUGUGCGUAUUUUGAAGACGGUGUAUGCUGGACCAAAGGUCUUGGAUGGGUAAUUCAAUUUCAAUGGCAAGACCAUUCAUUUUUUUUUUUGAGUAAGUUUGGUCUUCUGCUAAUUUCGACCAAACAAAUUUAUUUGCUUAGUUUAAUUUGUAGCUUCUCUGCUCGAAGCGUCCUCCCUCUUCCUACUACCCCACGUCACUCUCUUUUGGAAGAAUUUGUUUACGUAUUGAGAGAUUGAAUUGCUGCUUGGAAAUUCGGAAAAUUUAUGGUCUUUGUAUGGUAUUUUAGGUUUAGGAUACGUAAAGAUUGUGUCUUUGAUGUAUAAUUAAUAUUGAAUUUGAUGAACUGAUAGGAGCAUAUUUAUGCGACUUAGUUAGCUUGUUUCCUUGCACUUACGUAGUUAGUUUUUACUUUUUAGAAUGUUUUAAGCCAUUUUCGUGUGUUUGUAGGUUCAAAUGGCAAAAGUGGCAAGAAAAGGCAAUUUGGAGCAUUUUAGAGCAGUUUUGGGCUGGGAAUGACAACAUAUGAAUGGAGCAAGGUGGAUGGACGUUUUUGAAGAUCAAAAGAGGCUAGGAAUGUGCUAAAGAGUUGAAGGAAUUAAUUCAAGACAUAGAAGAUAAGGAAUCAGCUAUAAAGAAGGAACAUUAUCCAAACCAACCUUAUCUUAUCCAGUCUUAUCUUAUCUUAUCCCAUAUGAUCCAAACAUUAUCCUAUUUAAUCCAACAUUAUCUAAACUUAUCUCCAGCUGCAAAAUGAGUCCUUAUCCUAUUCUAAAUCAUUCCUAUCUGAAUUUAGGAGUCCUAAUCCUUCUAAACACAUUAAUUCUUUUCCCCCUAGGAAUCUGCCGCACCCAGUCCUUCUCCUCUACAACUUUGUGCCGUGUAUCUACCCUAUAAAUACACACCCUUGCCGCACCAUGAUAGGAGCAUAUUUAUGCGACUUAGUUAGCUUGUUUUCUUGCAUUUUCAUAGUUAGUUUGUGUUUAUCAUAGUGAUUUAAGCUAUUUUCGUGUGUUUGUAGGUCCAAUUGGCAAAGUUGGCAAGAAAGUACAUUUUGAAGCAUUUUAGAGCAAUUUUGGGCUGGAUUGGAUUGCAUGCAUGUGGAGCACAAGGAAUGACCGUUUUUGAAGAUCAAAUGAAGCGAGGAAUGUGCUAAAGAGAUGGAGAAAUUAAUUCAAGACUUGGAAGAUGAGUAAUCAGCUGCAAGGGGACCUAAAUCCCUUCUCUUAUACAUGUGCCGCACCUACCUUUCUAGAAGCCCUAGAAAGGUGGCGCCCCAAACCCUUCUAGAAGUUCCAAUUUCUGCCACAAAACAUUUUCUUUCUAGAAGCCUAAAAGAGUGCCACACCUAUUCUUUCUAGAAACCCUAAAAAUCUGCCAGAAACCCUAGUUAUUUUCCCCCUUGGAUUGGGCCAAGCCUUGUGCCGCAAACCCUAAGCCUUUUCCUCCAGAAAUUCGGCCAAACCCUAACCUAUAAAUAUAUGUUUUCAGCCAUAAUUUCAACCUACCACCCCCCAUAUAAUUCUACACCCCCUUUCAGCCGCAAAAACACUAAUUAACACCCUUUGCCGCAACUUUGGAGAAGAAGAAGCCUUUGCUGUGGCUUCCAUUGGAGAAGGAGGACCUUGUGCGCAAGCCACCUGCAACCAUUGGAGUUCUAAGAGUUCUUUCUUCCCUCGUUUCGUUUCCAUGUUUAUUUUUUGUUGCUUUUCAAUUGUUAUAAACAUGUGGAUCUAAUUCCUUUUUAGUUAGAUGUGAAUUCAAAGCCAUGGACAUAUGUUUAAUAUGAAUUGAUUACUUUCAGUUUUUGUUUUGUAAAACAUGAAUGUGAUUUUACUUAUCUGUUUGAUUGAGAACUUAUUCUUGUGUGUUGAUUGAGGAUGCAUACUUAGUUUGCAUGCAUGAAUCUGAUGCUAAAAUAUAAGGGAGUUUCACUUAACAGUUACAAACUUAUAUUUACAAGUAGUGAAGGUUGCUAGUCACAAUCGUGUUAAGUAGAUUCUUGGCAGGAGUAUCAUGCAGUUCAUAGUUAUGAAUGCCAUGUCAAUGCUUAUGAUUUUCAUAGAACGUAAUGAUCUUUGAUAUGUAUCUCUUUUAUGCUGUUCAUAUAGGGAACUUGAUAUGAAUAAUUUGGUUGCGAUGCAUUGUCCAUUCAAUUCAAUGAACUUAGGAAAAUUUGAAAGUUAAUUAGUGCAUUCACAAUUAAUUUGGGGCAUUGUCAUUCAUGGUUUGAAGAAACAAUACUGGAAAUCAAUUUAUGUGCAUAUGUUUCAUUUGUGGAGAAGGACCCUCUAACUAGCUUUUCACCCUUGAAUUCAUCUUAAUUUCGUUUUAACUUACUUUGUUUGCUGCAAUUUACUUAGUUUUGUCAAAUUCGUCCAAAAAACCCUUUAGUUCUUAUUUAGUGUCUUAGUUUAGUUAAUUUCGUUCAAAUCUGUCCCCAUUUGGUAUUUUGAGUCAAGUUAGUUUAGAAUUUGUCCAAAUCACUCUUUAGUAGUUGUUUUGAGUCUUUUUAACUUAGUUUUGCUGUUUUGAGUCAAUUUGAUCAGUUUUGAGUCAUAAGAGUCUAGUUUUCUGUUUUUGAGUCUAGUUUAGUGUUUUAAAGUUUAAUUUGAGUAGAUUAGCAUCCCUUAUAAUCCUUGGCCUUAAACGAUCCCUACUUACAUAUACUACAAUCAUAGGGUUUUAAUUUGAGUGUUGGAAUAUUUCACAUCACACCACACACAUAAGAGCCUAAAAUCAGAAAAAUACACAAUUGUGCUGCAGCUUUUGAAGGAGGGAGAGAGAGCUUUGUGCCGUGCCUGCUAUCCAAGGCCUUUGGAGUGCUGGAGCGUUUCUGGGUUCUAUCUAUCCUUAUUUUUAGUUCAAUGUUUAAUUAGUUAGAGGUGAAUUCAAAGCCAUGAACAUAUAUGUGAUAUGAAUUGAUUACAUCUAGUUCUUGUUUCAUAAAUCGUGAAUGCAAUUUACUUAUCUGUUUUAUGGAGAACUUGUUCUUGUGUGUUGAUUAAGGAUGCAUACUUAGUUUGCAUGCAUGAAUUUGAUGCUAGAAUAUAAGGGAAUUUCACCUAAUCGUUAUGAACUUAUAUUCACAAGUAGUAAAAGUCACUAGUCAUGAUUGUGUUAAGUAAAUUCUUGGCAAGAGUAUCAUGCAGUUCAUAGUUACGAAUGCCUUGUCAAUGCUUAUGAUUUUGAUAGAACUUAAUGAUCUUUGAUAUGUAUCUCUAUCAUGCUGUUCAUAUAGGGAACUUGAUAAGAAUAAGUUGGUUGUGUCGCUGAGUCUAAUUCAAUGAAUUUAGGAAAAUCUGAAAGUUAAUUUGUGCUUCUCACGAUUAAUUUGGGGCAUUGUCAUUCAUGGUUUAUAGGAAUAAUAACUGGAAAUUGAUUUGUAUACAUAUGUGUCAUGUGUGAAGAAGGACCCUCUAGCUAGCCUUACACCCCUAAAAACAUCCAAUUUCGUAUUACCUUUAGUUUGUUUCUGUAAGUACUUAGGUUUACUUUAAAUUCGUCAAAACAACCCCCAUUUAGUAUUCUGAGUCUUUUUAGUUUAAUUUUCGUCCAAAUCACCCUCUAGUUCUUGUUUUGAGUCAAUUUAACUUAGUUUUGUGUUAAUUGAGUCAGUUUAGCUUGUUUUGAGUUGUUUGAGUCUAGUUUCAGUUUUUAAGUUUAAUUUGUGUUGAUUAGCAUCCCUAAGGUACCGUUUGGUAUGUGGGACGGGGCGUUCCGUCCCACGUUUGGUGCGCCUAAAACGGGUGGAACAUACUGUUCCACGGAACGAGUUUUGGGUGAAUUUUUGUU